GUGCUUGCUUCAGCAGUACAUAUACUAAAAUUGGAACGAUAAAGACUAGCACGGCCCAUGUGCAAGGAUUACAUGGGUGUUCCAUAUUUUU
Molecule: small nuclear RNA, 91 nt
Organism: Fukomys damarensis (Damara mole-rat)
Lineage: Eukaryota; Metazoa; Chordata; Mammalia; Rodentia; Bathyergidae
Source: Ensembl